Molecule: small nucleolar RNA, 135 nt
Organism: Tachyglossus aculeatus (Australian echidna)
Lineage: Eukaryota; Metazoa; Chordata; Mammalia; Monotremata; Tachyglossidae
Source: RefSeq, a predicted model, not a curated record
CUCCUCUCAGGGUCACACCUGAAGAGUUGGUACUCUACCAGUCUCGACCAUGGGAGGGAGAGUCAAGCAGAGACCUACUCAUUCCAUUCCUAGCUUGGCCAGUGGCUAGUGAGUGGAAGGUAAUCUGCUACAAGU